GAUGAACGCUGGUGGCGUGCCUAAUACAUGCCAGUCGAGCGAACGGACGAGAAGCUUGCUUCUCUGAUGUUAGCGGCGGACGGGUGAGUAACACGUGGAUAACCUACCUAUAAGACUGGGAUAACUUCGGGAAACCGUAGCUAAUACCGGAUAAUAUUUUGAACCGCAUGGUUCAAAAGUGAAAGACGGUCUUGCUGUCACUUAUAGAUGGAUCCGCGCUGCAUUAGCUAGUUGGUAAGGUAACGGCUUACCAAGGCAACGAUGCAUAGCCGACCUGAGAGGGUGAUCGGCCACACUGGAACUGAGACACGGUCCAGACUCCUACGGGAGGCAGCAGUAGGGAAUCUUCCGCAAUGGGCGAAAGCCUGACGGAGCAACGCCGCGUGAGUGAUGAAGGUCUUCGGAUCGUAAAACUCUGUUAUUAGGGAAGAACAUAUGUGUAAGUAACUGUGCACAUCUUGACGGUACCUAAUCAGAAAGCCACGGCUAACUACGUG
RNAcentral lists this ribosomal RNA (497 nucleotides) under uncultured bacterium. Its description in RNAcentral is "partial 16S ribosomal RNA". It matches the Rfam family "Bacterial small subunit ribosomal RNA", at positions 28 to 507 of the family's 1533-position model. The record is from RNAcentral.